UUCGAAACUGGCAGGCUUGAGUCUUGUAGAGGGGGGUAGAAUUCCAGGUGUAGCGGUGAAAUGCGUAGAGAUCUGGAGGAAUACCGGUGGCGAAGGCGGCCCCCUGGACAAAGACUGACGCUCAGGUGCGAAAGCGUGGGGAGCAAACAGGAUUAGAUACCCUGGUAGUCCACGCCGUAAACGAUGUCUACUUGGAGGUUGUGCCCUUGAGGCGUGGCUUCCGGAGCUAACGCGUUAAGUAGACCGCCUGGGGAGUACGGCCGCAAGGUUAAAACUCAAAUGAAUUGACGGGGGCCCGCACAAGCGGUGGAGCAUGUGGUUUAAUUCGAUGCAACGCGAAGAACCUUAC
Molecule: ribosomal RNA, 349 nt
Filed under: Salmonella enterica subsp. enterica serovar Infantis
Lineage: Bacteria; Pseudomonadati; Pseudomonadota; Gammaproteobacteria; Enterobacterales; Enterobacteriaceae
Also listed under: 4 other names
Description: bacterial SSU rRNA
Rfam family: Bacterial small subunit ribosomal RNA
Source: RNAcentral